GACGAACGCUGGCGGCGUGCUUAACACAUGCAAGUCGAACGGAAAGGCCCUGCUUUUGUGGGGUGCUCGAGUGGCGAACGGGUGAGUAACACGUGAGUAACCUGCCCUUGACUUUGGGAUAACUUCAGGAAACUGGGGCUAAUACCGGAUAGGAGCUCCUGCUGCAUGGUGGGGGUUGGAAAGUUUCGGCGGUUGGGGAUGGACUCGCGGCUUAUCAGCUUGUUGGUGGGGUAGUGGCUUACCAAGGCUUUGACGGGUAGCCGGCCUGAGAGGGUGACCGGCCACAUUGGGACUGAGAUACGGCCCAGACUCCUACGGGAGGCAGCAGUGGGGAAUAUUGCACAAUGGGCUGAAGCCUGAUGCAGCAACGCCGCGUGCGGGAUGACGGCCUUCGGGUGGUAAACCGCUUUCGCCUGUGACGAAGCGUGAGUGACGGUAAUGGGUAAAGAAGCACCGGCUAACUACGUG
Molecule: ribosomal RNA, 468 nt
Filed under: uncultured bacterium
Lineage: Bacteria
Description: partial 16S ribosomal RNA
Rfam family: Bacterial small subunit ribosomal RNA
Source: RNAcentral